Molecule: ribosomal RNA, 253 nt
Filed under: uncultured bacterium
Lineage: Bacteria
Description: partial 16S ribosomal RNA
Rfam family: Bacterial small subunit ribosomal RNA
Source: RNAcentral
UACGUAGGGGGCAAGCGUUGUCCGGAUUCAUUGGGCGUAAAGAGCGUGUAGGCGGCCAGAUAGGUCAGCUGUGAAAACUCGGGGCUCAACCCCGAGACGUCGGUUGAAACCAUCUGGCUAGAGUCCGGAAGAGGAGUGUGGAAUUCCCGGUGUAGCGGUGAAAUGCGCAGAUAUCGGGAAGAACACCCGUGGCGAAGGCGGCUCUCUGGGACGGUACUGACGCUGAGACGCGAAAGCGUGGGGAGCGAACAGG